CGCAUGUUCCAAGACUUCGCCAGACAGCGUCCUCAAGACGUCAAAAUGCUCAAGACCAUGGCACAAUCUUGGGCAAACAAAGAAGACAAAGAGAUCGAAAGGUUCAAGUCGAAUUGAAAUCAAGGCCAACACAACAACAAUCAAGGCAACGGCCAGGACCAUGACAAGAACCGUAAUGCUGACCAUCGGAAUAACUACUCGGGAGGGCAAAACCGCAAGCGCAAGCCAGACAACACUGUCG
This 241-nucleotide long non-coding RNA is filed under the name Setaria italica (foxtail millet). Its description in RNAcentral is "long non-coding RNA (SITA_LNC001200)". The record is from RNAcentral. Lineage: Eukaryota; Viridiplantae; Streptophyta; Magnoliopsida; Poales; Poaceae.